Molecule: ribosomal RNA, 460 nt
Filed under: uncultured bacterium
Lineage: Bacteria
Description: partial 16S ribosomal RNA
Rfam family: Bacterial small subunit ribosomal RNA
Source: RNAcentral
CCUACGGGUGGCAGCAGUGAGGAAUAUUGGUCAAUGGACGAGAGCCUGAACCAGCCAAGUAGCGUGAAGGAUGACUGCCCUAUGGGUUGUAAACUUCUUUUAUAUGGGAAUAAAAUGCUUUACGUGUGGGACUUUGCAUGUACCAUAUGAAUAAGGAUCGGCUAAUUCCGUGCCAGCAGCCGCGGUAAUACGGAGGUUCCGAGCGUUAUCCGGAUUUAUUGGGUUUAAAGGGAGCGUAGGUGGAUUGUUAAGCCAGUUGUGAAAGUUUGGGGCUCAACCGUGGAAUUGCAGUGGAAACUGGCAGGCUUGAGUACAGGAGAGGUAGGCGGAAUUCGUGGUGUAGCGGUGAAAUGCUUAGAUAUGACGAAGAACUCCGAUUGCGAAGGCAGCUCACUGGACUGCAACUGACGCUGAGGCUCGAAAGUGUGGGUAUCAAACAGGAUUAGAUACCCCUGUAGUC